Molecule: ribosomal RNA, 358 nt
Filed under: uncultured archaeon
Lineage: Archaea
Description: bacterial SSU rRNA
Rfam family: Archaeal small subunit ribosomal RNA
Source: RNAcentral
CGGUAUACCAGCUCUCCGAGUGGUGGGGAUGUUUAUUGGGCCUAAAGCAUUCGUAGCCUGCUUGGCAAGUCCUCCGUUAAAUCCAACGAUUCAAUCGUUGGGCUGCGGGGGAUACUGUCCGGCUAGGGGGCGGGAGAGGCCGACGGUAUCCCCGGGGUAGGGGUGAAAUCCUAUAAUCCCGGGAGGACCACCAGUGGCGAAGGCUGUCGGCUAGAACGCGCUCGACGGUGAGGGAUGAAAGCUGGGGGAGCGAACCGGAUUAGAUACCCGGGUAGUCCCAGCUGUAAACGAUGCAGGCUAGGUGUUGGCGCGGCUACGUGCCGCUCCAGUGCCGCAGGGAAGCCGUUAAGCCUGCCGC